CUCCUUUUCUCUAAUGGCAUCCUCUUGUCUCGUCCGGAAAGGAUUUGUCGAAAAUGUCGCAUUUGUUAUUCUCUCACUGUGAUCCCAAUUGAUUUCUUCUUCAUCUUCUUUUAUGAACCUGGCUUUCGCAUCUUCUUAGCUCUGGGCCAUUCCUCCGGUGAUUUUGGGUUGCAAUGGUUGGGAAAAUAUUUUUGUUAGAACUUUGUACUAACCGAAUGCUUCAGGAUGGUAUAUGAUUUCUGAAACAAGGUCAUAUGGAUUUGAAAACACCAGCUGGAUUCCGUUCAGAUCUCUGUUCAACUGGAAGACUUUCUCUUCCAUCUUGAUGUUGAAAUCUCUAGCCACAAUGUUGUAUUCUUCAAUACAUUUGCUUCCAUAAAAGAGCUGAGUUGUUCUUUCCAGGGGUAAGCAUCCAAAAGGAGAGAGUCCCGACAAAGACAUCUUCCGAGCUCCGAGUCUGUAUAUAUCUGUCACGAAAUCUGCUGCUAUUCCUAUCAGGAAAUAUUGGUACUCGUUCACUGAGUACUUCCGUAACUUGCGGGGAAGAAGAUAGUAAUUCUCCAGGAAAUCGUUGGUUCCGAUACUAAUCAGGUAAAGUGAUUCACUAAUAAUCUCAUUAGCUUUCUCUUCACCCAAGUAGCUUCUUAGCCUGGUUUGGUAUUCUUUGUAGUAUUCCACUUCCUUCCAUAGCGGCAUUACAGACUUUAGAAAUCGAUGACAAUUCAGAGAAAGCAUGUCAGAAAUCUAAGUCCAGUACAGUAGAAUAUAUAUAUGUUGUAAGAUAUAUAACUAUGCUUGACUUACUAACACGGCAGAGGUUGCAUUGUCUAAGCCGGUUCCAGCUGAAGCGAAACAGACACCAGUGGCAAAGUCUGCAAUGUUGUAUGCUGGAUCUAGGUAGGCAGGGACUGCGUUCUUGAGUCCCAAACCUUCAGAAAUGAAGUCUGGUGCAAUCCGGCCAUUUGAAAAUCUCCCAGUCGCUUUGCCGUCAAAGUAAUCCCGGCCAUAUGGCUGGAAAUUGCUCUUCAGAACAGUAGAAAUCUGGUUGUUGUUGCCUGAAUCAACAGUUGAGUCACCAAAUACGAUAAGUGCGGGAAAUUUUGCACACGUUUCAGGUAUCUUCACCAAGAGCUGAGCUGCUAGCAACAAGAACGCAAGAACUCUGUUUCGCUGCAUGCUUUUUACACAAGUUUUUUCAAUUUUUUGCUUCUGCAAAACAAGAACCUCACGAUUAAUUGGGAAGAACAAUUGGAGCAAGCAUUUAAGAUGGAGAAAGAUAGGUAUCUUCUAUCAAACCUGACUAAAACAGAUUUAGCUCGUGUAGUUAAUACCUUGGCCUGUUGUUAGAUGAUGCUUAUUAAAUACUCCUUAGUCUGAUAUGUCUCUGUUUAUUUUUGGCCACAGAGAGUUAGUUGAGGUGAGUAAUGAGCUGAAAAUGAUUGAGAGUUUCAAUAAUAGUUGUGCAGCAGAGAGCCGUAUUUAUAGCUACUAAAAAAGAGAGAAAGACAGAAUAUUUUAAAAUAGAAGGAUUCGUACCAUUGCAAGCUUCAGAUGUAUAUGUAACGCAUCUUCCUUUUUACCGGAUUCACGCUCAAAACUCAACUCUCUGUUCUUGUAUCACUUACUGUUUUUAUUGCUUACUGAGUCUAGAGUCUUGAAUGUAAAGAUUAUUUGCACUUUGGGUGAACUGUGUCGCACGUUUUGG
Molecule: long non-coding RNA, 1705 nt
Filed under: Arabidopsis thaliana (thale cress)
Lineage: Eukaryota; Viridiplantae; Streptophyta; Magnoliopsida; Brassicales; Brassicaceae
Description: ncRNA (AT4G26795)
Source: RNAcentral